This is a long non-coding RNA of Drosophila willistoni, 440 nucleotides long. RefSeq lists it as uncharacterized. Lineage: Eukaryota; Metazoa; Arthropoda; Insecta; Diptera; Drosophilidae. The record is from RefSeq and is a predicted model, not a curated record. The transcript is spliced from 2 exons.
AAAAAUGUGUACCAAUAAAUAUUAAUUAUUAAUAUUUUCCCCUGCUUAUUUUCGUCCAUAAUUUGUUGUGUGUGAUUGAAUUUUUUUAUAAAUAGCCUGGCUACGUAAUCGAUUACAUAUAAUUUUGAUAACACUAUUUAACAAAACAUUGAUAUCAUUGGCUCCACAUCAAAGAAACCAAAAAGCUCAUCCUACAUCACACAUUAUUAUACGCACAUCAUGAGCAAUGAGAUUACAUAAAAAGCAAAGAUAUGAUCUUUAUUUGAUGGGGAUGGAUUGAUGCAUCCUGGUGGUGAUGACUGGUGAAUUGAUUGUUAUUUCCUAUGUUUUUGUUUUUUUUUUUUUUCGGUAAGUUUCAGUUGGUUUUCUCAAAAUCAUCAUUAACUUUUAGAAUAUGUUUCCAAUUAUUUUUCGCUAAACAAAGGAGUAUCUUGUUUCUU